RNAcentral lists this ribosomal RNA (503 nucleotides) under Escherichia coli. RNAcentral's name for it is "partial 23S ribosomal RNA". It matches the Rfam family "Bacterial large subunit ribosomal RNA", at positions 690 to 1192 of the family's 2925-position model. The record is from RNAcentral. Lineage: Bacteria; Pseudomonadati; Pseudomonadota; Gammaproteobacteria; Enterobacterales; Enterobacteriaceae.
GGGCGUUUAGUAUUUGGUCGUAGACCCGAAACCAGGUGAUCUACCCUUGGUCAGGUUGAAGUUCAGGUAACACUGAAUGGAGGACCGAACCGACUUACGUUGAAAAGUGAGCGGAUGAACUGAGGGUAGCGGAGAAAUUCCAAUCGAACCUGGAGAUAGCUGGUUCUCUCCGAAAUAGCUUUAGGGCUAGCCUCAAGUGAUGAUUAUUGGAGGUAGAGCACUGUUUGGACGAGGGGCCCCUCUCGGGUUACCGAAUUCAGACAAACUCCGAAUGCCAAUUAAUUUAACUUGGGAGUCAGAACAUGGGUGAUAAGGUCCGUGUUCGAAAGGGAAACAGCCCAGACCACCAGCUAAGGUCCCAAAAUAUAUGUUAAGUGGAAAAGGAUGUGGCGUUGCCCAGACAACUAGGAUGUUGGCUUAGAAGCAGCCAUCAUUUAAAGAGUGCGUAAUAGCUCACUAGUCGAGUGACACUGCGCCGAAAAUGUACCGGGGCUAAACAUAUU